AUUGAACGCUGGCGGCAGGCCUAACACAUGCAAGUCGAGCGGGGUUUUCGGACCUAGCGGCGGACGGGUGAGUAAUGCGUAGGAAGCUACCCGAUAGAGGGGGAUACCAGUUGGAACGACUGUUAAUACCGCAUAAUGUCUACGGACCAAAGUGUGGGACCUUCGGGCCACAUGCUAUCGGAUGCGCCUACGUGGGAUUAGCUAGUUGGUGGGGUAAUGGCUCACCAAGGCGACGAUCCCUAGCUGGUUUGAGAGGAUGAUCAGCCACACUGGAACUGAGACAUGGUCCAGACUCCUACGGGAGGCAGCAGUGGGGAAUAUUGGACAAUGGGCGCAAGCCUGAUCCAGCCAUGCCGCGUGUGUGAAGAAGGCCUCGGUUGUAAG
Molecule: ribosomal RNA, 384 nt
Filed under: uncultured bacterium
Lineage: Bacteria
Description: bacterial SSU rRNA
Rfam family: Bacterial small subunit ribosomal RNA
Source: RNAcentral